This 73-nucleotide transfer RNA is filed under the name Canis lupus dingo (dingo). It matches the Rfam family "tRNA". Rfam says of the family: Transfer RNA (tRNA) molecules are approximately 80 nucleotides in length. Their secondary structure includes four short double-helical elements and three loops (D, anti-codon, and T loops). Further hydrogen bonds mediate the characteristic L-shaped molecular structure. tRNAs have two regions of fundamental functional importance: the anti-codon, which is responsible for specific mRNA codon recognition, and the 3' end, to which the tRNAs corresponding amino acid is attached (by aminoacyl-tRNA synthetases). tRNAs cope with the degeneracy of the genetic code in two manners: having more than one tRNA (with a specific anti-codon) for a particular amino acid; and 'wobble' base-pairing, i.e. permitting non-standard base-pairing at the 3rd anti-codon position. Lineage: Eukaryota; Metazoa; Chordata; Mammalia; Carnivora; Canidae. The record is from Rfam by way of RNAcentral.
ACCUGGCUGGCUCAGUCAGUAGAGCAUGGGACUCUUGAUCUCAGGGUGGUGAGUUCAAACCCCACACUGGGCA